GGCUAGCUCAGUUGGUAGAGCAUGGGACUCUUGAUCCCAGGACUGUGGGUUUGAGCCCCAUGCAGCCA
RNAcentral lists this transfer RNA (68 nucleotides) under Pangasius djambal. RNAcentral's name for it is "tRNA-Lys". It matches the Rfam family "tRNA". Rfam says of the family: Transfer RNA (tRNA) molecules are approximately 80 nucleotides in length. Their secondary structure includes four short double-helical elements and three loops (D, anti-codon, and T loops). Further hydrogen bonds mediate the characteristic L-shaped molecular structure. tRNAs have two regions of fundamental functional importance: the anti-codon, which is responsible for specific mRNA codon recognition, and the 3' end, to which the tRNAs corresponding amino acid is attached (by aminoacyl-tRNA synthetases). tRNAs cope with the degeneracy of the genetic code in two manners: having more than one tRNA (with a specific anti-codon) for a particular amino acid; and 'wobble' base-pairing, i.e. permitting non-standard base-pairing at the 3rd anti-codon position. Lineage: Eukaryota; Metazoa; Chordata; Actinopteri; Siluriformes; Pangasiidae. The record is from RNAcentral.